This 72-nucleotide transfer RNA is filed under the name Actinomadura rudentiformis. It matches the Rfam family "tRNA". From Rfam's summary of the family: Transfer RNA (tRNA) molecules are approximately 80 nucleotides in length. Their secondary structure includes four short double-helical elements and three loops (D, anti-codon, and T loops). Further hydrogen bonds mediate the characteristic L-shaped molecular structure. tRNAs have two regions of fundamental functional importance: the anti-codon, which is responsible for specific mRNA codon recognition, and the 3' end, to which the tRNAs corresponding amino acid is attached (by aminoacyl-tRNA synthetases). tRNAs cope with the degeneracy of the genetic code in two manners: having more than one tRNA (with a specific anti-codon) for a particular amino acid; and 'wobble' base-pairing, i.e. permitting non-standard base-pairing at the 3rd anti-codon position. The record is from Rfam by way of RNAcentral. Lineage: Bacteria; Bacillati; Actinomycetota; Actinomycetes; Streptosporangiales; Thermomonosporaceae.
GGCCCUUUAGCUCAGGCGGAAGAGCGCUUGGUCGAAGCCCAGGAGGCCGAGGUUCGAUUCCUCGAGGGGCCA